GCAAUGUAAGUGUGGUAUUUGUUACUUGACAGUGUGUCAAGUUAAAAAUAGUUCAAAUUCUAAAAACUGUUACAAGAUUAUUCAUUUGGUUUCAACACGCUUCACGAUGCUGACACAAGUUGUCAUCCUUUUGUGAUUUCGAAUCACAGAAUUAAUGAGGCGCCAUUUCGGCACAUUUUAGAAUGGUUGUUGCUGGAGUUUGAUUGGCGUGAAAUGUUCAGAAGUGUUCAUGUUCAUUAUUGUGUUUUCAUUCCUGUCACUUCUGAGUAUUCUCAUUCUCAUUCCUAAUUUGAUGGUAUGUUGACUUAGUGCAGAUUUUGGAUGAAUUGUCAUCUUUUUUCCAGCUGCCUCUGUUGUCUGGGCCCAGAAGCAGAUGUCUGAGCGCUUUGAGUGAUUUAGGUUCAGAAGCCUGCACGUCAGAGAUAAAUUCAUUUCAUCUCCAUGGGGAGUGAACUUGUGAAGAGAAAUCUAUUCCUGUUCUGACUCUUCCUGCAUGAAGAAAGUGAAAAUCUGCAGGUCCCUUGCUACAUUAAGUGAUGAGAUGCAAUGAAGAUUUCUGCCAGAAAAUUAAUGAAGCAUGGCUCAAACUUCAGGAAGCCCCUACAUUUAACAUAUCAUGUAUCCAGGCCAUGGGGCACGAGACUGAGCAGCAGUAAGCAGGUGAUUUCUAAUUAACUUUUGGCAAUGAGAUAAUUUUACAAGGUUUAACAUGAUAUUGCAUCCAGUGCAUUAUAUAUUUGAAUUUUUGUUUAAAAGUAAUGGAAGCCUAGUUUUUUGUCGUUCUAAAAAAGAACUUGAUUCCAUGUUGUGACCCCCUCAAACCAGGUAAGUCACUGCUCUGGUAUUAUAAUAAAAAAGUUGUGUGUGUAUAUAUAAGUGUCUCCAGGGAUCUAGAUAAGCUGCACAGCAGAAUGAAGGAAAGGAAAUGUGGUUCUCAUUUACAAAUUAGAAAUGGCUUCUCCAAAGGGCAGAACGUAUCGGAUUCGUCUCCGGAUUUCAAACAGCUUUGUUUUACCUGAUCUAAAUCUGACUCUAAAAAAAGCAGAAAGCUUGUAGUACCUUGCAAUAGUGCUUGCUUUAUAUUUCUGUCACCUCUGUGCAUGGGAAUGUCUGUGAUUACCAAAGCCCAGUAUUGCUUCCACCCAAUCAGAGGCUUGCUGGAUGAUGCCUAGAUUGGCAAGUUGAUAGUUUCAUUUGAGAUGGUGCAAUGAGGACUUAUGCCAAAAAAUUAAUGAAGCAUGGCUCAAAUUUCAGACAGCCCCAACACCGUAAAUAUUAUAUAGCAAGGAGUAAAGCAGAGUAGCUAAGGCACCAAAAUUCAAAACACAAAGAAAGAAAAGUUUCUCAACCUAUUUUUGUAUCCUUCAUUCUCUGUAGAUUGUAUUUCUUAGUUAUGUUUGACAAUCAGUUUGACAGUCUGUAUGAUGGAUCCAAGAUUUGUAUCUAGUAUGCGGCUGUCAAAUCUUGCCAAACAGCUUUAGAACAACUUUUUCUUCCAGAAAAAAAAUGAAAUGUGGUUGCAAAGAAGAGAAAGAUAGAUUGCAAGGUGGAUAGUGACUACCACCUGUAAUUAGACAGUUAUUAACUAUAUUACUUUGGGUUUGCACUAGCAGAUUGCUCUUGGGGGACACACAAUUCAUCAAGGCAAGUGGAAGCCUCCUUUGAGUUUCUAGUUACCUGCAGGACAGUUAUGUCUUUCUUUUCUGGCCCUCUUAAGUCUACCAUGCCUGAUGCGCAACUCCUAACAGACUUUUGCUCAAGUGUAGUACUUCUCUAAAAUUGCUGAUAGACUUCUACAAGAUCAAUGGAAUUAAUAUGAACAAAGUAAUCAAUGUAGGUGUGAUCAAUGAGGGAUUUUGUCAAUGGGGAGUUAAUAUAAAAAGCAAGUUCAGCUUCCCCCGAUAACUGCUGCAUAUAUGUUUGGAUAAAGCCUACAAUAGGAAAGUUCUGACUGUGAGAAACUGAACGUUCUAGGCAGAGAUGGCAUAUUUGGAAAAGGAGUCUGUGACAGAACAAGAAUUUAAAAAGGUUUUGAUUAUGCUGAGAUGAAAAUGAAGCCAGAUGCGUUUAGAUCAAUUUAUGUGUGUUUACAAAUGGGACACUAGUGGCGGAUAAGUGCAGGGUUUUUUUUUUCUAUUAAUUUUUUUUUUUCAUUUAAUUCUU
Molecule: long non-coding RNA, 2163 nt
Organism: Cyprinus carpio (common carp)
Lineage: Eukaryota; Metazoa; Chordata; Actinopteri; Cypriniformes; Cyprinidae
Exons: 2
Source: RefSeq, a predicted model, not a curated record